Peromyscus eremicus (cactus mouse) is the source of this 435-nucleotide long non-coding RNA. RefSeq lists it as uncharacterized. Lineage: Eukaryota; Metazoa; Chordata; Mammalia; Rodentia; Cricetidae. The transcript is spliced from 3 exons. The record is from RefSeq and is a predicted model, not a curated record.
CUCUGAUUCUCUGGUCUGCUGAGGAGUAUUUGCGUAUAAAGUACACAUACACACAAUAGAUUUCAAAAGAAGCAGUUGGAGGCCACUGUCCACCUAGAACUCCAUGAAGGUGAUGGGAUCACAGUUUAAGGAUGAGCAUUUAACCACAGCUGAAUUAUUCAUCAGCACGGAGCUAUCAUCCUCAAAGUAUCCAGAAACAAAUGCUACUCUCGGGAGCGGUCAAAGAAGCCUCCCUUCCCAGUGAAUGGUAACGGAUGCAGAGAUGCGGGGCUGCACAAGGUGCUGAGAAUAAGCGACAGAUGAAUGGUCAGACCCUGAGCAAGACAUUUCCUCACAAGUUCACAAGCAUUGUGAAAGAGAGGAAAGAAAGAAUCUAAGAGCUACAAUAUAGGGAGAGGGGCUGUGAAAUGCCAUCUUCUGGGCAGGACGCUGCUA